Oncorhynchus tshawytscha (Chinook salmon) is the source of this 506-nucleotide long non-coding RNA. RefSeq lists it as uncharacterized. The record is from RefSeq and is a predicted model, not a curated record. Lineage: Eukaryota; Metazoa; Chordata; Actinopteri; Salmoniformes; Salmonidae. The transcript is spliced from 2 exons.
AGAGAUAAAUAGUUAGAUGGCAAUGUAGCAAUGUAACCUGAUCAUUGGCAACCAUCGUAUUUUCAAGUAUAUCCAGUCGAUCAACAUUCAUCCCUGAAGUUUCAUCUGGGUUCACUCACACAUUUCAGAUUAGUAUUGUUAUCUUUUAUUCAAAACCUGAACGUCAGAAAGUAGUAUCUGUCUAUCUGACACGUCACCUUAAAUGAACCUACGUUACAUACGAGAGUGGCCAGCGGAAAUAUCACCAGUUACACUUCUUUCGCGGUCAUCUUUUCAGUUGUCCUUACAACUCUGAAAACACAGAGACCAUUUCCUAGAGAAGACACAGUACUGUAUCUCCUGCUACACCGAGGUUGUUAAAGGAAGAGGAAAAGGCUUCAGAACUGAACGAACACAGAUCUUCUACAGACCGAGAGACGAGAUCAGAAAGCGGACACACAGCUCCAGAGUGUAAGUAAACAAAGAGUCAAAGGAAAUCGAGUUGCCACAUCUAGAAAUGGCAGAGG